GGCGGUCUUCCCCGAUCCGACCCAACCCGGGCCAGGCGCCAAGCCCUGGAGCAAGGAGGCGCCUGGGCAGAGCGAGGCUGAGGGAGUGGAGCAUGCGCCUGGGACUUGCAAUGAUGAAACAGGGCCAUUGGCAAAGCUGGGGUACCAGUCACCCAGCCACGCUCUAGGGUGGUAGCCAAGAAGACGGACCCCGAGUGGGAGAGACAAGAGCUGGAUGAAGCAGAGCAAGCGUGAGCAUGGUGAAGAGAAGACGGAGCCCCGCGCUGGGAGAGGAACGCUUCAGUCCGAGUUCCAUUCUGCACCCAAGGCUCCCCUUGGUCCUCCUGGGAACCAGGGUGCCCCUUAGUGGUGGUGGCCCAGGAGAACCCGACCAAGGCAGGAGCGCCCCCUCCUGGAAGAGCCUCGCUUCAACGCAUCAUCAUUCCCGGCCGGCAGCAGGGGCGACGCCAGCAAGGCCAACGACUCAGAGCCAGCUUGGCCCGUUCGCCCCGCCCCUUCCCGGUGUCCGCCCCGCCCCUUCCCGGUGUCCGCCCCGCCCCCUUCCCGGUGUCCGCCCCGCCUCCUUCCCGGUGUCCGCCCCGCCCCCUUCCCUGUGUCCGCCCUGCCCGCUUCACUGUGGUCCUGCCUCUGGGUGGUGCCGGGGCGGGGGUGGGAGCCCGGGGCCCGCGCAGGCGGAGCCGCCGCCCAAUGGGAAGGGUCGGUGGGGAAGGGGGUAGGCGCAGGCGGGUGGGCGGGAAGAACGCUGGAGGUUGAUUGGCGGUCUUGCCGGCCAGUGAAGCCAGGGCGUGGGCGGGGCGCGGCUCGGAGCGCGAAACAUGGCGGGGCAGGAAGCUGGCUGCGGCCGUGGCGGCGACGACUACUCAGAGGACGAGGGCGACAGCAGCGUGUUCAGGGCGGCUGUGGAGGUGUUCGGGAAGCUGAAGGACCUAAACUGCCCCUUCCUCGAGGGUCUGUAUAUCACAGAGCCAAAGACAAUUCAGGAACUGCUGUGCAGCCCCUCAAAGUACCGCUUGGAGAUCCUAGAGUGGAUGUGUACCCGGGUCUGGCCCUCACUGCAGGACAGGUUCAGCUCACUGAAAGGGGUCCCAACAGAGGUGAAGAUCCAAGAAAUGACGAAGCUGGGCCAUGAGCUGAUGCUGUGUGCGCCACAUGACCAGGAGCUCCUCAAGGGCUGUGCCUGCGCCCAGAAGCAGCUACACUUCAUGGACCAGUUGCUCGAUGCCAUCCGGAGCCUGACCAUUGGGUGCUCCAGUUGCUCGAGGUACAGGUGUGGAUGGCCCAGCCUGAUGGAGCACUUCGAGGACACCAGGGAGAAGAACGAGGCCUUGCUGGGGGAGCUCUUCUCUAGCCCCCACCUGCAGAUGCUCCUGAAUCCAGAGUGCGACCCGUGGCCCCUGGACAUGCAGCCCCUCCUCAACAAGCAGAGUGAUGACUGGCAGUGGGCCAGUGCCUCUGCCAAGUCCGAGGAGGAGGAGAAGCUGGCGGAGCUUGCCAGGCAGCUGCAGGAGAGCGCUGCCAAGUUGCACGCGCUUAGAACGGAGUACUUUGCACAGCAUGAGCAAGGGGCCGCUGCGGGCGCAGCCGACAUCAGCACCCUAGACCAGAAGCUGCGUCUGGUCACCUCCGACUUCCACCAGCUAAUCUUGGCUUUUCUCCAAGUCUACGACGAUGAGCUGGGCGAGUGCUGCCAGCGCCCAGGCCCUGACCUCCACCCGUGCGGCCCCAUCAUCCAGGCCACGUACCAGAAUCUGACUUCCUACAGCCAACGAGAGGCUCUGAGCCUUCCAACCUCUGACUGGCUGGUCCUGUGAGACUCCUCGAUCAGGGAUGGUGAGGCCACAGCCCUCUCCUGUCCAUUUUUCUUGGGACAUUUAUUUUCCCCCUUUGCCAAUUGCUGGGGCUGGGAGGACACGCAGUGCUGGCUGGCAUGUCCCUAGGCAUCGAGGGUUGCCAGAGCGACAUGAGAGUGUGGCAUCCCCACUGGGCCAGGAAGAGGGGACUUAGGUCCGAGAACUCUGAUUGGUGACUUCCCCGCUGGGAGUUCUGUCCCUCACCCUUGGCUGUCUUUCGGCUGCUGCAAGUGGUCGUGGCAGUUGCUGACACCUCUGCGAAAGCCGUGGAGACCGUGAAGAAGCAGCAAGGCGAGCAGAUCUGCUGGGGCGGCAGCAGCUCCAUCAUGAGUCUAG
Gorilla gorilla gorilla (western lowland gorilla) is the source of this 2186-nucleotide RNA transcript. It is a transcript of the gene named HAUS augmin like complex subunit 7, with no coding region annotated. The transcript is spliced from 11 exons. The record is from RefSeq and is a predicted model, not a curated record. NCBI's taxonomy places the organism in Eukaryota, Metazoa, Chordata, Mammalia, Primates, Hominidae.